CCUUUGUGAACUUAUACCUUACUGUUGCCUCGGCGCAGGCCGGCCUCACUGAGGCCCCUCGGAAACGAGGAGCAGCCCGCCGGCGGCCAACCAAACUCUUGUUUCUUAGUGAAUCUCUGAGUAAAAAACAUAAAUGAAUCAAAACUUUCAACAACGGAUCUCUUGGUUCUGGCAUCGAUGAAGAACGCAGCGAAAUGCGAUAAGUAAUGUGAAUUGCAGAAUUCAGUGAAUCAUCGAAUCUUUGAACGCACAUUGCGCCCUCUGGUAUUCCGGAGGGCAUGCCUGUUCGAGCGUCAUUUCAACCCUCAAGCAUUGCUUGGUGUUGGGGCACCGCCUGUAAAAGGGCGGGCCCUGAAAUCUAGUGGCGAGCUCGCCAGGACCCCGAGCGUAGUAAUUAUAUUUCGUUCUGGAAGGCCCUGGCGGUGCCCUGCCGUUAAACCCCCAACUUCUGAAAAUUUGACCUCGGAUCAGGUAGGAAUACCCGCUGAACUUAAGCAUAUCAAUA
RNAcentral lists this ribosomal RNA (505 nucleotides) under Phomopsis sp. nwa_besc_211cj. Its description in RNAcentral is "eukaryotic LSU rRNA". The stretch from base 143 to 296 matches the Rfam family "5.8S ribosomal RNA". The record is from RNAcentral. Lineage: Eukaryota; Fungi; Ascomycota; Sordariomycetes; Diaporthales; Diaporthaceae.